AAUUUCCCGUGUCCUUGACAUCCCACCAGAACUUUUGAGGUGUCCAUGGGUUCCUCACACCCCAGAGACUCCAUAAUGACAUCAGGAGCUGUUCCACAGUGUCCCUAUGGUUCUCCACAAACCCCCCUGAGAUGUGGCCACCAAAAAUUCCUCCCCUUCCUAUCAGCCCAGAAGAACUUUUGAGGUGUCCAUGGGUUCCUCACCCCCCAGAGACUCCAUAACUGCAUCUGGAUCCCUUCUAGAGUGUCCCCAUUGUUCUCCACAAAGCCCUCUGAGAUGUGGCCACCACCAAUUCCCGCCCUUUCCCUCAGCCCAGAAGAACUUUUGAGGUCUCCAUGGGUCCCUCCCACCCCAGAGACUCCAUAACUGCACCUGGAUCUGUUCCAGAGUGUCCCCAUGGUUCUCCACAAACCCCCCUGAGAUGUGGCCACCACAAAUUCACACCCUUCCCCUCCCCCCAGAAGAACCGUUCUGGUGUCCCAUUGUCCCCCAACCCCUGGAGACUCCAGAACCACGUCUGGAUCCCCUUGGUCACCGCUCCAUUGUCUUCUCCAAACCCCCCUGAGAUGUGGCCACCACAGAUUCUUCCUCUUCUCCAGGGACAACCUGGGGAGAACCUGGGACAAUCCUGGGGAGGAGAUGGGGGAGGGGGAUGGAGGAGCCUGGAGUGAUGGGGGAGGGGAUGGGGGGAGCUGGAGGGUCCUGGUGGCUUUGGGACAUCUUGGGACAUCCUGGGACACUCUGGGGUGGCCUUGGGACAUCUCUGGGACAUCCUUGGGUGGCUUUGGGACUUCCUGGGAAACUCUGGGGUGGCUUUGGGACAUCCAUGGGAUAUCCUUGGGUGGCUUUGGGACAUCCUGGGACAUCAUUGGGUGGCCUUGGGACAUCCUGAAGGAGACAAGCUGUGGUGGCUUUGGGACAUCCAUGGGACACCCAUGGGUGGCUUUGGGACACUCUGAAGAGUCCCGAGGUGGCUCUGGGUCAUCUGUGGGACACUUAUGGGACACCCUGGGGUGGCUCUGGGACGUCCUGGAGGGACCCUGGGACAUCCUGGGGUGGCUUUGGGACACCCUGGAGGUGACACCCUGGGGUGACUUUGGGACACCUGUGGGACAUCCUGGGACACCCAUGGGUGGCUUUGGGACACCUUGGGGUGGCUGUGGGACAUUCAUGGGACACCCUGGAGGUGACAACCUGAGGUGGCUUUGGGACAUCCGUGGGACACCCUAAAGGGU
This 1235-nucleotide long non-coding RNA is filed under the name Zonotrichia albicollis (white-throated sparrow). RNAcentral describes it as "lncRNA (ENSZALG00000001999.1)". Lineage: Eukaryota; Metazoa; Chordata; Aves; Passeriformes; Passerellidae. The record is from RNAcentral.